UUAAAUUGAAGAGUUUGAUCAUGGCUCAGAUUGAACGCUGGCGGCAGGCCUAACACAUGCAAGUCGAACGGUAACAGAAAGCAGCUUGCUGCUUUGCUGACGAGUGGCGGACGGGUGAGUAAUGUCUGGGAAACUGCCUGAUGGAGGGGGAUAACUACUGGAAACGGUAGCUAAUACCGCAUAACGUCGCAAGACCAAAGAGGGGGACCUUCGGGCCUCUUGCCAUCGGAUGUGCCCAGAUGGGAUUAGCUAGUAGGUGGGGUAACGGCUCACCUAGGCGACGAUCCCUAGCUGGUCUGAGAGGAUGACCAGCCACACUGGAACUGAGACACGGUCCAGACUCCUACGGGAGGCAGCAGUGGGGAAUAUUGCACAAUGGGCGCAAGCCUGAUGCAGCCAUGCCGCGUGUAUGAAGAAGGCCUUCGGGUUGUAAAGUACUUUCAGCGGGGAGGAAGGGAGUAAAGUUAAUACCUUUGCUCAUUGACGUUACCCGCAGAAGAAGCACCGGCUAACUCCGUGCCAGCAGCCGCGGUAAUACGGAGGGUGCAAGCGUUAAUCGGAAUUACUGGGCGUAAAGCGCACGCAGGCGGUUUGUUAAGUCAGAUGUGAAAUCCCCGGGCUCAACCUGGGAACUGCAUCUGAUACUGGCAAGCUUGAGUCUCGUAGAGGGGGGUAGAAUUCCAGGUGUAGCGGUGAAAUGCGUAGAGAUCUGGAGGAAUACCGGUGGCGAAGGCGGCCCCCUGGACGAAGACUGACGCUCAGGUGCGAAAGCGUGGGGAGCAAACAGGAUUAGAUACCCUGGUAGUCCACGCCGUAAACGAUGUCGACUUGGAGGUUGUGCCCUUGAGGCGUGGCUUCCGGAGCUAACGCGUUAAGUCGACCGCCUGGGGAGUACGGCCGCAAGGUUAAAACUCAAAUGAAUUGACGGGGGCCCGCACAAGCGGUGGAGCAUGUGGUUUAAUUCGAUGCAACGCGAAGAACCUUACCUGGUCUUGACAUCCACGGAAGUUUUCAGAGAUGAGAAUGUGCCUUCGGGAACCGUGAGACAGGUGCUGCAUGGCUGUCGUCAGCUCGUGUUGUGAAAUGUUGGGUUAAGUCCCGCAACGAGCGCAACCCUUAUCCUUUGUUGCCAGCGGUCCGGCCGGGAACUCAAAGGAGACUGCCAGUGAUAAACUGGAGGAAGGUGGGGAUGACGUCAAGUCAUCAUGGCCCUUACGACCAGGGCUACACACGUGCUACAAUGGCGCAUACAAAGAGAAGCGACCUCGCGAGAGCAAGCGGACCUCAUAAAGUGCGUCGUAGUCCGGAUUGGAGUCUGCAACUCGACUCCAUGAAGUCGGAAUCGCUAGUAAUCGUGGAUCAGAAUGCCACGGUGAAUACGUUCCCGGGCCUUGUACACACCGCCCGUCACACCAUGGGAGUGGGUUGCAAAAGAAGUAGGUAGCUUAACCUUCGGGAGGGCGCUUACCACUUUGUGAUUCAUGACUGGGGUGAAGUCGUAACAAGGUAACCGUAGGGGAACCUGCGGUUGGAUCACCUCCUUACCUUAAAGAA
Molecule: ribosomal RNA, 1554 nt
Filed under: Escherichia coli
Lineage: Bacteria; Pseudomonadati; Pseudomonadota; Gammaproteobacteria; Enterobacterales; Enterobacteriaceae
Description: bacterial SSU rRNA
Rfam family: Bacterial small subunit ribosomal RNA
Source: RNAcentral